CCUACGGGUGGCAGCAGUGAGGAAUAUUGGUCAAUGGGCGAGAGCCUGAACCAGCCAAGUCGCGUGAGGGAGUACUGCCCUAUGGGUUGUAAACCUCUUUUGUCGGGGAGCAAAAGCCGGACGUGUCCGGCUGUGAGAGUACCCGAAGAAAAAGCAUCGGCUAACUCCGUGCCAGCAGCCGCGGUAAUACGGAGGAUGCGAGCGUUAUCCGGAUUUAUUGGGUUUAAAGGGUGCGCAGGCGGAUUGUUAAGUCAGCGGUAAAAUCGUGGGGCUCAACCCCAUCCAGCCGUUGAAACUGGGGAUCUAGAGUGUGCGAGAGGUAUGCGGAAGGCGUGGUGUAGCGGUGAAAUGCAUAGAUAUCACGCAGAACCCCGAUUGCGAAGGCAGCAUACCGGUGCACAACUGACGCUCAGGCACGAAAGCGUGGGUAUCGAACAGGAUUAGAUACCCCAGUAGUC
RNAcentral lists this ribosomal RNA (458 nucleotides) under uncultured bacterium. RNAcentral describes it as "partial 16S ribosomal RNA". It matches the Rfam family "Bacterial small subunit ribosomal RNA", at positions 338 to 795 of the family's 1533-position model. The record is from RNAcentral.